Molecule: ribosomal RNA, 490 nt
Filed under: uncultured bacterium
Lineage: Bacteria
Description: partial 16S ribosomal RNA
Rfam family: Bacterial small subunit ribosomal RNA
Source: RNAcentral
AUUGAACGCUGGCGGCAGGCCUAACACAUGCAAGUCGAACGGUAACAGGGAUCAGCUUGCUGAUUCGCUGACGAGUGGCGGACGGGUGAGUAAUGUCUGGGAAACUGCCUGAUGGAGGGGGAUAACUACUGGAAACGGUAGCUAAUACCGCAUAACGUCGCAAGACCAAAGAGGGGGACCUUCGGGCCUCUUGCCAUCGGAUGUGCCCAGAUGGGAUUAGCUAGUAGGUGGGGUAACGGCUCACCUAGGCGACGAUCCCUAGCUGGUCUGAGAGGAUGACCAGCCACACUGGAACUGAGACACGGUCCAGACUCCUACGGGAGGCAGCAGUGGGGAAUAUUGCACAAUGGGCGCAAGCCUGAUGCAGCCAUGCCGCGUGUAUGAAGAAGGCCUUCGGGUUGUAAAGUACUUUCAGCGGGGAGGAAGGGAGUAAAGUUAAUACCUUUGCUCAUUGACGUUACCCGCAGAAGAAGCACCGGCUAACCCCGUG